CACUUGUUCCCUAAAUAGGGACUUGUAUGAAUGGCCACACGAGGGUUUUACUGUCUCUUACUUCCAAUCAGUGAAAUUGACCUUCCCGUGAAGAGGCGGGAAUGACUAAAUAAGACGAGAAGACCCUAUGGAGCUUUAAUUAACUGAUUCACAAAAAACAACACACAAACCUAACCUUCAGGGACAACAAAACUUUUGAUUGAAUCAGCAAUUUCGGUUGGGGUGACCUCGGAGAACAAAACAACCUCCGAGUGAUUUAAAUCCAGACUAACCAGUCAAAAUAUAUAAUCACUUAUUGAUCCAAACCAUUGAUCAACGGAACAAGUUACCCUAGGGAUAACAGCGCAAUCCUAUUCCAGAGUCCAUAUCGACAAUUAGGGUUUACGACCUCGAUGUUGGAUCAAGACAUCCUAAUGGUGCAACCGCUAUUAAGGGUUCGUUUGUUCAACGAUAAAGUCUU
Molecule: ribosomal RNA, 460 nt
Filed under: Equus caballus (horse)
Lineage: Eukaryota; Metazoa; Chordata; Mammalia; Perissodactyla; Equidae
Description: partial large subunit ribosomal RNA
Rfam family: Bacterial large subunit ribosomal RNA
Source: RNAcentral